CAAGGCGGAUGGCAAAAUAGUGCCUUCACCAUUCAGUGUACGAACCAGACCGGCAGGGGAAUCUUACUUCAACACUGGCAAUGUGCCUGCCACCACACCUGAGGACAACCAGCUAUCUUAGCAGGUGCAGAUCUCAUGGCACACACCUCUGUCUGCUCUCUCGGGGCCAGCCCUACCAUUGGGCAGUGUGAUGGCCUGGGAAUCUGAUUCAGAAGCUGAACCUGAGGAGUCCCAGCCUGCACAGGAGUCCCCGCCUCCAGGGCUGGCUGAGCCGGGGCAGGGGCUUGAAUCUGAAGGGUCUGCACCUGUGCCGGAUCCUCAGGAGCAGACACCAGAUGAAUCCACUCUGGCUCCGGAGGUGGUUGAGGACCCAUUGCCUGCAGGUGCGCCUCUCCCAGCCCUGCCAGGGGAAGGUGAAGCUGCACCUGGGUCCAGUAACCCUCCAGCCUCUCCUGAGCUGCAGAGGCUCAGGGCAGAGAGGUGGAGGGAACUGGGUUCUCUCAGGAGGACUGCUCGCCUUAAGGCCAGGAGAGGCGGGUCACCUGUGGGCCGGGGCUGCCCCUGGCCUCAGAGAAGAUAAAGGUCAGUCAGCCCAGUCCCAGGUUGCGGGAGCAACGUCGUUGGAAACCUGUUCCUGCCAGCACCCUGACCUGCUCCUCCGGAGUUCCUGACCACGCCCGGCUCCUUGCCUUGGACCCCGCUUCACCCUUGACAGACAGCCUCCAGACCCUUGACCCAGGACCGGACUCAGACCACGCCGCACAGUAACCCCCCCACUCCGGGGCCAGCACAGGCAGCCACGCCAGGCAGAAGAUUUCGGAAGCUGAGUGUCAGCUGAUCCCUACCGAGAGACGGCAGAAUGCCUUGAACUCCAGGUAACUGAGGUGGUUGGCCAACUCUCCUGCGUCGAGGUGAUCAAAAAGCAGGGACACUUUCCUCUUCUUGCCGCAGCCGGGGCUGCUUUGGCAGCUGAGGGAUCGGGUCCACGUCCGGGUCAUCCUGAAGAAGGAAGCAAGGCCAGAACGCCAAGUCAGAUGCUGAAUACUUUGCAUGCUUCGAGGUAGUAAAGGUAAAGGACCCCAUGACAGUUAAAUCUAGUAGAAUUUGAUUAUGGGUUGCAGAACUCAUCUCCACUUUCAGGCCGAAGGAGCCAGCGUUUGUCCACAGGUAGCUUUUCCGGGUCAUGACUAAACCAUUUCUGGCACAACGGAACACCGUGACGGAAACCAGAGCGCACGGAAACGCCGUUUACCUUCCUGCUGCAGUGGUACCUAUUUAUCUACUUGCCCUGGUGUGCUUUCGAACUGCCAGGCUGGCAGGAGCAGGGACAGAGCGACGGGAGCUCACCCCGUCGUGGGGAUUCGAACCGCCGACCUUGCGACUGGCAAGCCCAAGAGGCUCGGUGGUUUGGACCACAGCGCCACCCGCGUUCAUGGUUAGCUGAACCCUUGACUGGAAACGCAGAUUGGUCUGAGGAGCGUGGUAAAU
Long non-coding RNA from Podarcis raffonei (Aeolian wall lizard), 1488 nucleotides. RefSeq lists it as uncharacterized. The transcript is spliced from 2 exons. Lineage: Eukaryota; Metazoa; Chordata; Lepidosauria; Squamata; Lacertidae. The record is from RefSeq and is a predicted model, not a curated record.